AGUAAAUAAGAGAAUCAAGAGAUACAAAUUCAGUGUUUCAAACGAUGAUGUCUGAGUAUGAGUGCUGAUACAUGCUGAAUAUUUAUGAUCCAGAACGAGGCUUACGUUUAAAAACCUUCUAUAAAAUCAAGACGUCUGUAAGUAAAGUAUGUAUACGAGUUAGUUUUUUUAAACCAAGCGUGUAAUUAUCAGUGAUUCCUUAUUGAAGUUAUGAAAUUCAACCUUUUUAUUUAAUGUGGAUAAGUCAAAACUCUCCCGACUGUUUAUAAUAAGCUAACAUUUGCUACUAACUAAAGGAGCACUCAACCUUUUCUGAUUCGGCUGUUAGUUGUUAGACCAAUUAAAGCACCGAAACAUGGGGAAAAUCAUCAGCAGGCUUGCAAAAGACAUGAACUUUUGGAGGUAAAAUACCUAACACGAUUGUCAAAAUAAAGGGUGCAAAAAUUUUACAUGUUUUAUCAAAUCUGAAAAUUUGGAUUAAAUGACCUCAUUUUGUUUAAAGCACUCAAUAGAGAAUAGAAAAAUAAAUAAAUGUAUUGGUCCUAAGCGCCUUUAAUCAGAAUGGGCUUAUUAAAAGUAUUUAUAACCCAAGCGUAAAUACAAAAAAGACCCGGUGUUUACACCCAAACGUUUUGACAAUAGAUAAUAGUUGCUUUUUCAAAAUAGCUCAAUACAAUUAUACUGCUAUGUCUAACUUCCCGACAUCUUCAGUUUGAAGACUGCGGUUUGGAAAUAAAAAAACAUAAAUCAUACUUCAUGGAUGGACAGUUGUCUCAUUGGCACUCAUACCACAUCUUCCUUUGCCAGUGUAUUCAACCUUUGUUCUCGAAAAAAUACCUUUCAAAAUCAUUCUUAUAAGUAAUAUAACGUGGUUUUAUUUAUUUCCCGUAUAUAUAAUAGAGACUUUUAAUGCAUAUGGAAGUUCAAUAAAACAUUUACCUAAACUUAAAAUAAUACUUUUAAAAAUGGAUAAAAAAACCUUAUAAUUUCUUGCAAUGUUGGCAAAAUGCUAUAAAAUAAGAAAUGUGAUAGGAUUGUCAAUGAGUCAAUAUCUAAAUGAAGCAGAAUUAAGCUACAUAAUCGAUUGCAAAUACAAAAAUGAGGUUCUAUACAUGUGCUUCUGUAUUUUGGUUCAAGUACAAAAUUGAUUUUCAAACUCCUAAAGGACCAAAUAAUAUACUUGCAAAUCAUUUUUCAUUGACAUUUAAAAUCUUAAAUAAGCACUAUAACAUAAAAAAGAAGAUGUGGCAUGAUUACCAAUGAGACAACUCUCCACAAUAGACCAAAUGACACGUAAAUAAACAAUAAAAGGUCACCGUUCGGCCUUCAACAAUGAGUAAAGCCCCUACCACAUAGUCAGUUAUAAAAAAAAAAAAAAUGGUAAAACAAUUCAAACGAGAAAACUAACAGCCUUAUCUAUGUGAAAAGUAAUUAAUCGAUGUUCUAUGAUUCUAAGAUAUUGAAUAUAGAAAUUUGCUGAAUGUUAUGCCAACAUGCGAGAUAUAUCUGUGUUAAAUCUUAAUAGCUAUUUCUUUGACUGAAGUUUCAUCACUUAUUUUUUUUGUCUAGAUAACCUCCAAAUGUAGAAUGAAACUUGACAAGAUCUAUGGUAAUCCAUUCAAAUCUCAUCGUGAAUUA
This 1638-nucleotide long non-coding RNA is filed under the name Mytilus galloprovincialis (Mediterranean mussel). The record is from RNAcentral. Lineage: Eukaryota; Metazoa; Mollusca; Bivalvia; Mytilida; Mytilidae.